AGGGUCACAACGAUGCCAUGACCUCAGCGCGUUGUAGUGCCGGUAUGUUUCCCGUCCCGGUAAUCUUGCAGCGCAGAUUGAAGCCUGCCGAGGUCGCCCGUUGUCCAGCAUCUCAUCCGUCCAGAUAUGCCGGAACCAACGUUGUCCACGGAGGUCGACCCACCAUCACGAUGCUUGACGACGAUGCAUACAGAGCUCAACUACAAGUAGCCGGCCAACCAUGUCUCUUUCACCAAAUCUCCCUAUCUACCUUUUUUCUUUUGUUUUCCACUAAGCCCCAGUUCUUCUGCAGGAGCAGCGAACCAUGGAGGAUUUCAGGCUACUUUGGCAUAAACCAGCAAGCCAUGUUGAACUGACAUGUAUUUUGAGAAAGGAGUGGUCUGCUAUUCUGCAUCUAGGUGCUAAUCCUACAAUUAAAUGACCAUCAACUUAGUGUUUCGUCUUACAAGUUCUCUGACAUUGAUUGAGUUGGCCUAGAAAGAAGAUCACUCCAAGUCUGAGUGCACCUAUAAACAUUGAUUCAGUGGCCAAAAAUUUGUAGAAGCAGGUGCUCCAUGUGCUGUAGUCCGACAGAAGAUUCAAGCAUGUCUUCACUUGAUUAACAGGUACACAUUAUCAGCAAACAGUUGAAUCACAAGUUCACAACUGAGCUUUUGGAGAUCAUGAACCAAUAUUCUAUCGAAGGAAGAAACUCCAUUUGCUGCCAAGAAUCUAACCGUACAUAGAUUUAAUUAGUGGGAAUAAACUGACAGCCGGAGCACCCGCUUACAUGUCACAGAAAGUGGUGGUCUAAAUCUCAUCUCACUACAAUAGUGCAAAUUCAAAUUUUGAGGCCAGGCACGUGUUGUAUCAUCGACCAUAUAUUUACCUUUGGUUCUCUAACAUCAUCCUGCGAUUGUGUUUUGCGGAAUUGAAUUAUAGAAUUGGAUUUUCAGCUUUGGCUGAAUAUGCAGCCACUGCUGUAAAAUUCCAU
Lolium rigidum is the source of this 973-nucleotide long non-coding RNA. RefSeq lists it as uncharacterized. The transcript has 5 exons. Lineage: Eukaryota; Viridiplantae; Streptophyta; Magnoliopsida; Poales; Poaceae. The record is from RefSeq and is a predicted model, not a curated record.